Molecule: transfer RNA, 1368 nt
Filed under: Melitaea cinxia (Glanville fritillary)
Lineage: Eukaryota; Metazoa; Arthropoda; Insecta; Lepidoptera; Nymphalidae
Description: misc RNA ENSMCXG00005018826.1
Rfam family: tRNA (bases 640-712)
Source: RNAcentral
CAGUACUGCGGUCACCAACCCGCCUGCCCAGCGUGAUGACUAUGGGCAAAACACAUGAGUUCACGUUAUUUUUGGCGUAAACUUGUGGAGGCCUAUGUCCAGCCGUGGACUGUAUAGGCUGUAAUGAUGAUGAAUCAUUAUAAUCAUAUGUACGAUUCUAUUUUUAUGUUACCCACACAUUAGGAAUUCUAAACAUUUUUGAAUAUCAUAUCAAAAAUUGACCGCUCCAGCAGGAUUCGAACCCGCGUCUCCGACUGACCGUGUCGGCGCUCUAGCCAAUUAAGCUAUGGAACGAUGUACCCGCCAGAGCGAAAUUUUUUGAUAUGAUGAUUUUUACUUUCGGUUUAAGCGAACCGUGGCGCCGUCUAUAGUGAGUUCUUUACAGAGACCCGUAACUAUUCAAAGUUUCAUAUUACAAUGAAGAUCUUUGACAGGAGACGACACCAUGCUAUUUUUAAUAUGUUCGAUUUUAUUUUUAUGUUACCCACACAUUAGGAAUUCUAAACAUUUUUGAAUAUCAUAUCAAAAAUUGACCGCUCCAGCGGUCUCUGUAAAGAACUCACUAUAGACGGCGCCACGGUUCGCUUAAACCGAAAGUAAAAAUCAUCAUAUCAAAAAAUUUCGCUCUGGCGGGUACAUCGUUCCAUAGCUUAAUUGGCUAGAGCGCCGACACGGUCAGUCGGAGACGCGGGUUCGAAUCCCGCUGGAGCGGUCAAUUUUUGAUAUGAUAUUCAAAAAUGUUUAGAAUUCCUAAUGUGUGGGUAACAUAAAAAUAAAAUCGUACAUAUUAAAAAUAGCAUGGUGUCGUCUCCUGUCAAAGAUUUUCAUUGUAAUAUGAAACUUUGAAUAGUUACGGGUCUCUGUAAAGAACUCACUAUAGACGGCGCCACGGUUCGCUUAAACCGAAAGUAAAAAUCAUCAUAUCAAAAAAUUUCGCUCUGGCGGGUACAUCGUUCCAUAGCUUAAUUGGCUAGAGCGCCGACACGGUCAGUCGGAGACGCGGGUUCGAAUCCCGCUGGAGCGGUCAAUUUUUGAUAUGAUAUUCAAAAAUGUUUAGAAUUCCUAAUGUAUGGGUAACAUAAAAAUAAAAUCGUACAUAUUAAAAAUAGCAUGGUGGCGUCUCCUGUCAAAGAUUUUCAUUGUAAUAUGAAACUUUGAAUAGUUAGUUACGGGUCUCUGUAAAGAACUCACUAUAGACGGCGCCACGGUUCGCUUAAACCGAAAGUAAAAAUCAUCAUAUCAAAAAAUUUCGCUCUGGCGGGUACAUCGUUCCAUAGCUUAAUUGGCUAGAGCGCCGACACGGUCAGUCGGAGACGCGGGUUCGAAUCCCGCUGGAGCGGUCAAUUUUUGAUAUGAUAUUCAAAAACA